CAUCACCCAAGUAUUUCUCCUACUUGUCUGAAGCAUCAAGGACUGUGAAUAAGGUUUUUCGUGAUAUCCGACCGGAAUUUAGUUCUGUUCCUGAAAGCCAUUCUUGUUCUGCUCCUGACAGAAGCACUUGCGAUUGCCACCCCGUUAUGGAACUAACCUUGGCUACCCAAAUCAGCUGUCCUUGACAACAUAUUGUAUGCUUGUUCAUUGCAGCAUCUUGCCACUUUACCACCAUUCUCUUUCUUAACCUAUGCCUUCUGCAUUUUUGCCGGCGAAGUGUCUCCCUGUAGAGAAAUGGUGUUACUUAAGGUAAAUAGAGGAAGACUUUUGCAAGACUCUUUGAUUUGAGAGAUCCGGACAUGCUUCAAAUAGUAAGCUAGAAGGCCUUAGCCACGACCGGAGAGUACCAGCACCAGAUUUGAUUGGAAAAGCUAUUCACAAAGGAAAAGGAGCUAGCAUCUGUGUAUCGAGCUAAGUUGAAGAGUUGAGCUUCCAUCUCAUAAUCCAAAAUAGUCAGAAAAAAAAGUUGGCUACCCUGUAUUUAUAUCAAAGAGAGCUUGCUAGUGCCGAUUAUAAUUGUCAGCUUCAACGGUGGCACGUCAGUGCAAACUUUACAUGCGAGAAUCAAGCCAAGUAAAGAUUGUUUCAAUACAAUCAAAGUUCUCUUAAAUAAAAGUUUUGAUCUUCAAGGAAUUUGAUGAUAGUAAGAUGUUUUUAGUGGGAUUAGUGAAUGUCAUUGGUUGUACUUGAACGCCCCUUUUAUGAGGUUAAUUGUAGAAAUUGGAGAGCAUUUUAUUUGUUAAAUCAGGAACUACUUUUUUAGUGCAAAACUGGAAGUAAACUGAAUUGUGUUCAUCAGCUUGGAUCUAAGCUUUGAAGGGGAAAAGAUUUAGAGGGAGAGUUAUUUACUUAGAAGUAUAGUAGUGAAGUUGUAACUUGCUGAGUGAAUUGCCUCUGAAUAAGGCUCUGCAUUCGUAGGAAAUUUCCAAACUCUUUCUCGAAAAUGCUGGAGAAAUGUUUAAACAGUGACCAAUAAUGAAUUAAAGAUUCUCUGCGGUCGUAUGCAGGAA
Gossypium arboreum is the source of this 1070-nucleotide long non-coding RNA. RefSeq lists it as uncharacterized. The record is from RefSeq and is a predicted model, not a curated record. The transcript has 3 exons. Lineage: Eukaryota; Viridiplantae; Streptophyta; Magnoliopsida; Malvales; Malvaceae.